AAGAUAGANUUUUACUGAAGGUCAGUGCCGAGUAUUAUUACCGACAAACCAAGGCUUGUGUUUAGGGAUUUGAUUUGAGCUAUGGAUUAAAGAUGNGGUGAGGUUGUGGUUCAUCACUCAGCUUUGUUUCUCUAUUGGCCUGAAUCAGUGAUUUAGUCAAGGUAGCGCACAUCACAGACAUGAAUAACACAACUAGUCAGAAGCCUCCAUCAAGAUUAGGAGAGUCCUAUUCAAUUCCCGAACUGACAGCUUGGUCGAUCGCUUUUGGUGUUGAAGCACUNCUCAUUGUAUGUGGCAACAUUCUGACCAUUUCUACAUUUAUUGGGACGCGUAGACUUCGCCGCAAUAGCACUUUACUCCUAAUUAACCUUGCAGUGACUGACCUAUGUGUUGGCGGGCUCAGCAUUCCCAUCUUCCUCUUUGUCUUUGUGGAUUACUUUUACUAUAAAGACUACAACAGAGUUGUCGAUGCCAUACAUCGCUUUGUUGAUGCUGGAACUGCUCAUGCGUCCUUGUUCUCUCUANUGUUAGUGUCUCUAGAGCGCGUGCGUGUAAUUGUAUGGCCGCUGCAACAUCGAGUGCAUGCAAAGAAGAUCAUAUUUUUAUCAAUUGCGAUUGCGUGGAUCAUGGCGUUAAUUCUCCCUACUCUGCAGUACACAGGAACCAAGGUACCAGUCUCGUACUAUAUUGGUGUACCUAUCAUUGCCAUUUCGUUGAUCAUCAUGUGUGCUGCUUACUUGAUUAUAUGGAUCCANGUUCGUUACAAGCGACAAAAAAGCAUUCGNAGUAAAUCCAGCGACUUUGAACGAGCGUUCGCCUUGACCUUGUUCAUUGUGACCAUCACGUCUGUCUGCGCAUGGCUGCCUUACGAGAUCAUCCUCAUCAUCAGCACGCUGUGUAAGGGNGCCUGUGCACCAUUUUCCAUCAAUGUCGUCUAUACUACCAAGCUGUUGCAUUAUGGGAAUUCUCUCAUUAACCCAGUGAUCUACAGUCUCAGGUUUCCGGAGUUCAAGAAAGCUGCCUUUCGCAUCUUNAGUGCUCGUCGAAGCAGNGGUGGUUCUGGGAAGAACAACGGUGANCAGGCCAAUAUCCCACUUCAAGAGGUUGUACCGUCUCCCAACCAAACUAACAACACGUCAGUGAGGUGGACAUGGAAAUCACGAAGUGCGAGAGGAUCCACUAAGAGUAAUGGUAGUCCACGACUUCCUGGAAAAGACGCCUGCAGGAGAAAGGACGACCUGGAAGACUUGGUGGAGAAAUCGUAGACACAAGUGUCACGAAGAGGGUGCGAUUUGGUAUUGAUUAUGAUAAAGAGGGUCCGAUCUGGUAUUGAUCAAGAAUUAUUGGACAACUGAUUUACAUGCACCGAUAUCAAUUAAUGUUACCGGUAUAAAUAAAUGUUGUUCAGGAUUGUGNUGAAAAUAUUUUGGCAAUGCUUUGAAUCAAGACNACAUUGCAGUGAUCACUAGCUAGAUAUCAAUAUUUAUCGUAAUAUUAGUCGGUUUUUCUUAUGAAUUUGAUCUAUUAUCUAAUCAUAUAAUCUUUAGCUUUAACAAAAUGUAGAUAUUGCAUGUAAUGAUAUUGAUUAAUAAUUGUGUUAAAAAAAAUAACUGUUAACGAAUGUGUGUCAAUUAAAAGCUGGGGUUAGCGAAAAAAAAGGUUUUUAAAAGCCACUAUUUAUCAUAAAGAUAACAAUAUACCAUAAUCUGUGCGAUUCGGCGCUGCUAAAACACUUAUCACAAUAACACUGUGGAUGCCAUGUUGUAUUUGCCUUUCUGUGGCAAAAUAUGGUCGUUUAAGACGUCCUAGUCUAAUUGAUCAUAUUUCAAGUUGUACUUUAAUACUCAUUAACCUGAGUUGAUUGACUGUGUUAUAAUUAUGAUGCUUUUUGCGUGUAAAUAGAUGGUUAUCGUAAGUCGGACCAGAUUGAAUGCAUUGGUUCUCUAGUAUUCCAUAUCACUGCUGUCGACAUCAUUCUCGUCAUUAAAUGUAAAAAAAUAAUAAUUUCUUUAGGGUGAUUCUCAACACCACGUGAUCAGAAAUAUGCAUAUUUUUUUACAGUCCUGGCAAAGCUGGUAUGAUGACUUUUUUAUUAUUCUAAUUUAAUUAACCAAUGAUAAGGGUUUGAAUUCAUGGUUUCCAGAUCUCUCUGAUCGGGUAGAACUUGGGUAGAAAUUAGUAGAUAGUGCUGUAAGGCUACAUCCAAUGAAUCUUUUAGCUUAAUGAAAGGACAAUCUAAAGGGAUGAUUGAUUUCAUGAUUAAGUAUGCAAUGUNCCAAUAAAACUUGUAAACACCU
Molecule: unclassified non-coding RNA, 2297 nt
Filed under: Exaiptasia diaphana
Lineage: Eukaryota; Metazoa; Cnidaria; Anthozoa; Actiniaria; Aiptasiidae
Description: adenosine receptor A3, transcript variant X3
Source: RNAcentral